UAGACAGAUUCUAAAACUCCCGAUAUCCAAGCCGGCUAUGAAAAAACCUCGACCGCGAUGAUGUCAAUGUUAGCAGACGCUAGCUUGAUUUACGGUCCU
RNAcentral lists this non-coding RNA (99 nucleotides) under Candidatus Cryptoclostridium obscurum. Its description in RNAcentral is "Pyrrolysine insertion sequence mttB". It matches the Rfam family "Pyrrolysine insertion sequence mttB". The record is from RNAcentral. Lineage: Bacteria; Bacillati; Bacillota; Clostridia.